AUGUCGUCGUUCGCCGGCGUAUCUGUCCUGGCCGACGGCGAGCUGUGCCCCGCCACCGCGUCGACCGUCGGCACCAGCGCGGUCUGCGGGUACCACCUGCUGCUGGUCCACGACUACCCGCGCACCAAGCAAGAGGCGCCCACCGGCGACAGCAUCAGCUCCCGUCCUUUCAUGGUGGGAGGCCAUUGUUGGAUCAUCAACUACUACCCCAACGGUGAAGACUCGGACUGUGCCGACUUCAUUUCUCUCGAGCUUUCCUGUCUCCAAGACGAUGCCAACAAGAAGCAGCAGCAUGUGGUGGAAGCCAAGGUCGUUUUCAGUUUCAUAGACCAGGUUGAGAUGCAGAAUCCAGUCUACAUUGCUCAAGCUGAAACAUACAGCUUCAAUGGGUUUUCUCGGGCCAGACGCAAGUUCAUGACAAGACAAGCCCUUGAACAAUCAUCACUGCAUCUAAAGGACGAUUCUUUCACCAUCCGCUGCGACAUCAUGGUCUCCUCCUCCUGCAACCCCAAGGACGACGAUGCCACCAAGGCGCUCCUGCCUCACAUGUGCCAGCACUUUGAACAUCUCCUUCAAACCGAGGUGGGCGCUGAUGUGAGAUUUGAGGUCGGCGGCGAGACGAUGGCUGCACACCGGUGUGUGCUCGCAGCCCGAUCCAGGGUCUUCAUGUCACAACUCUUUGGCCCCAUGAAGGAGGGCACCACUAAGGCCGCUGUCAUACGGAUCAAAGACAUGGAAGCAAGCGUGUUCAGGGCCUUGCUUAACUUCAUCUACACGGACACGUUCCCUGCUAUGGAGGAUGAUGAUAGCAUGGAGGAGGACGAAACGUCACAAAUUACGGAGCAAGGACAAGAAAAGGAGACCACAUUAUCAGAGGCACGCAUGUGGCUGCAAUGGCUGCAAAACUUGUUGGUAGCGGCUGACAGAUAUGAUGUCCAACGCCUCAAGUGCAUCUGUGAAAGUGAGUUGUCUGAGCACAUAUGUGUGAGCUCGGUCAUGUCCACUCUUGCUCUAGCCGAGAAGCACCACUGCCAUGGAUUGAAAGAGGCGUGCUUCAAGUUUAUCCAAGUCCAGUCCCCCUCAUGCCUGCAAACAUUAAUGGCAUCUAAUGGCUGGGAUCAUGUCUUUGACACCUAUCCCUCGGUUUUAAAGGAGCUCAUUGCCAAGCUUGCUUCCAACCACCGGAACUAA
RNAcentral lists this ribosomal RNA (1191 nucleotides) under Triticum aestivum (bread wheat). RNAcentral's name for it is "partial small subunit ribosomal RNA". The record is from RNAcentral. Lineage: Eukaryota; Viridiplantae; Streptophyta; Magnoliopsida; Poales; Poaceae.